This 597-nucleotide long non-coding RNA is filed under the name Struthio camelus australis. Its description in RNAcentral is "lncRNA (ENSSCUG00000004879.1)". Lineage: Eukaryota; Metazoa; Chordata; Aves; Struthioniformes; Struthionidae. The record is from RNAcentral.
AGAGGUUCUUGCAAAGCGCUAUGGGAGAGAAGCAAACCUUUCUGGAGGAUAUGUAGUAGGAGUAGAGCCUCCUGCACCUUCAGGACUAUGCCUCUGCUCUCAUCUCAGGAUGUUUUUGGAUCCUGAACAUUUCUUCCUCAGGAACUGUUGGUGAGAUUGGGACUGAAGUGACCAGCGCUGGACAUCUGAGUUAACAGUUUAAGAAAAGCUGUAAUCCCUCAUCUCUGCAGAGAAGCACUUCCCAUACAUUUCUACCAACAGGUUCAGUGGUCAACCCAAGAACCUGAAAAGCAACAGAACAACCUGUACCUUAGAUCUACGGUGAUGAAAGCCUGAGCUACGAUCCUGGAUCACAAGGACACCAGCCUGGUCGGUCUGAUUUACCCCUUGGAGCAAUCAGUGGAUCAGUUCCUGUUGGCUGGCUGUACAGGGAAAGGGCUAAGGCCAGCAGCCGUCCGGAGACGAAGCUGGACGACCUUGCAUCCUCUGCUCUGCUGCUUGUCACAACAGAUGAGAGACGCGGAAGGGAGGGUGAGCAUCCAGCACGCUCCUAUCUCUUCACCCAUCUCCUCAGUAAAGGCACUCCUGGCUCAGGGC